GACGCAAGAGAUGAGACUAAAUUAUGGGCAUCCUGGCAGAUUACUUUGUGCUGUUUUUUCCUUGGAGAGCUGAAGGAGUCACUUCUGCUGACGAUUCUCUGAAAACCUUUCCCUGAUAGAGCCAACCCCUCAAGGACUGCUGCUGGACUUGUGAGGCCAUAGAAAGGCCUACAUGGAUAGAGCAGACAAUGCCCCCCCGGAGCAACGGCCUCUAUUAUUAUCAACUGCUGCAUAUCACAGUACAGUUUACAGUUUAGUUUAGUUUGAGGAGUAGGGACUGCUGAGCUUGAAGAUGAGUUCUUGUGCAGAACGGACUAAAAGGAAAAAAGUUAAUUAUUAUUUACUCCCCCAGAGGUUAAGCCUA
Molecule: long non-coding RNA, 364 nt
Filed under: Ricinus communis (castor bean)
Lineage: Eukaryota; Viridiplantae; Streptophyta; Magnoliopsida; Malpighiales; Euphorbiaceae
Description: long non-coding RNA (RCOM_LNC000690)
Source: RNAcentral